GAGAUGUUAGCUCAAUGGUAGAGUACUCGGCUUUUAACCGAAUGGUUCUGGGUUCGAAUCCCAGACAUCUCA
RNAcentral lists this transfer RNA (72 nucleotides) under Apicomplexa sp. corallicolid ex Leiopathes glaberrima. Its description in RNAcentral is "tRNA-Lys". It matches the Rfam family "tRNA". Rfam says of the family: Transfer RNA (tRNA) molecules are approximately 80 nucleotides in length. Their secondary structure includes four short double-helical elements and three loops (D, anti-codon, and T loops). The record is from RNAcentral. Lineage: Eukaryota; Apicomplexa.